GGGCGUGGGGUUCGUUUAGGUUUUGCCCUGUGUAUGACCUCGUUUGGAGCCAUGAAACCAGGUCUGUGAAAUUUAGUGUCUAUUUUCUACCAUAACACAUGUUAAUUUGGACUAACCACAUUUCGAGUGCUCAGUAGCCACAUGUGGCUAGCGACUACUAUCUUGAGCAAUGCAACGAUAAGUCUGCACUUACGUUCAAAAAGACUUAAAGCAGGGAUCGACAACCCCCAGGCCACAGACUGGUAUGGAUCCAUGGCCUGUUAAGAACUGUGCCACACAGCAGGAGGUCAUAAGAACAGACAGUAUUUUUUUGGCGCAGCAAGAACUUCUUAGGCCAUAAAGCAUGACAGACCUCUUUUCCUUAUGCGCUGAAUUGAAGAAGUGCUGACUCUUUUGCUGAUGGUGGCUUUUCUACAAUAUAAAGAUGGAAAUGGGAAGAAGAUGUUCAUUGCAAAUUAAGGAAGCUCUUCCACGAGUUCACGAAUGGAAAUAACAUCAAGAGUUUUUCAUCUUCUUAGUGUGCAAGAUGUCUGAGGAAUAGUCUUAGUGGAUUAUCCCAAACUUGACACAUUUUUUGCAAAAUGCUAUACAAAAAGAAGAUACAUGCGAUUAUGACAAGAUUCUCCACUUGGUGUGACCAGUCUCAUACAACCCAAGGCUGUGUGUCCAAAGGCAACUGUACUGAAUACCGGAAAGCAUGUAUUUGUUUGCUAAAUUGCUCUCUUUCCACCAGUGAUAUCAAUUCUGAAAUACUUUUGAGAUCUUGACAAUAAUCAAAAGGUAGCCAGGUGCAUCGG
Long non-coding RNA from Homo sapiens (human), 797 nucleotides. Ensembl annotates it as ZRANB2 divergent transcript. Its record names the gene ZRANB2-DT. Lineage: Eukaryota; Metazoa; Chordata; Mammalia; Primates; Hominidae. The record is from Ensembl.